This 253-nucleotide ribosomal RNA is filed under the name uncultured bacterium. RNAcentral's name for it is "partial 16S ribosomal RNA". It matches the Rfam family "Bacterial small subunit ribosomal RNA", at positions 524 to 776 of the family's 1533-position model. The record is from RNAcentral.
UACGUAGGGGGCAAGCGUUGUCCGGAAUUAUUGGGCGUAAAGCGCGCGCAGGUGGUGAAUUAAGUUGUGGGUAAAAGGCAAUGGCUCAACCAUUGUAAGCCUGCAAAACUGGUUCACUUGAGUGCAGGAGAGGUGAGUGGAAUUCCCGGUGUAGCGGUGGAAUGCGUAGAGAAUCGGGAGGAACACCAGUGGCGAAGGCGACUCUCUGGCCUGUAACUGACACUGAGGCGCGAAAGCGUGGGGAGCAAACAGG